ACCCGAGCCCGCAAGGGCGAGGGUGGGGAGUGGCGAACGGGCGAGUAAUGCAUAGGUAACCAACCCCGGACGCGGGGACAGCCGCGGGAAACUGCGGGUAAUACCCGAUAAUCCCGGUUAAUCCAAGGAUCAGCCGGGCAAAGCUCCGACGGUUCGGGACGGGCCUAUGUCCUAUCAGGUUGUUGGCAGGGUAAUGGCCUACCAAGCCUAAGACGGGUAGCGGGACUGAGAGGUCGGCCCGCCGCAUCGGGACUGAGACACUGCCCGGACACCUACGGGUGGCUGCAGUAACGAAUCUUCCGCAAUGGGCGCAAGCCUGACGGAGCGAUGCCGCGUGCAGGAUGAAGUCCUUCGGGAUGUAAACUGCUGUCAGGGGUAAGGAAGAUCUGACCGAACCCAGAGGAAGGCACGGCUAACUCUGUGCCAGCAGCCGCGGUAAGACAGAGGUGCCAAGCGUUGUUCGGAAUCACUGGGCUUAAAGAGCGUGUAGGCGGCCUGGAAGGUGUCUGGUGAAAUCCCCCGGCUCAACCGGGGAAUGGCUGGGCAAACCACCGGGCUUGAGGCGGUCAGGGGCGACUGGAACUCUAGGUGGAGCGGUGAAAUGCGUUGAUAUCUAGAGGAACGCCGGUGGCGAAGGCGGGUCGCUGGGGCCGUCCUGACGCUGAGACGCGAAAGCGUGGGGAGCGAACGGGAUUAGAUACCCCGGUAGUCCACGCCGUAAACGAUGCGCACCAGGUUCGAGGGAUUCUGAGAUCCUUUGGGCCGGAGCAAAAGUGCUAAGUGCGCCGCCUGGGGAGUACGGCCGCAAGGCUAAAACUCAAAGGAAUUGACGGGGGCUCACACAAGCGGUGGAGCAUGUGGCUCAAUUCGAAGCAACGCGAAGAACCUUACCUGGGUUUGACAUGCACGGAUGCCUCCUGGAAACAGGGUCAGGCUGCCUUCGGGUGAAACGUGCACAGGUGCUGCAUGGCUGUCGUCAGCUCGUGCUGUGAAGUGUUGGGUUAAGUCCCAUAACGAGCGAAACCCUUGUCGCUAGUUGCCAGCGGGUCAUGCCGGGGACUCUAGCGAGACUGCCGGUGUUAAACCGGAGGAAGGUGGGGAUGACGUCAAGUCCUCAUGGCCUUUAUGCCCAGGGAUGCACACGUGCUACAAUGGCGGCUACAAACCGACGCGAGACCGCGAGGUGGAGCCAAUCGGAAAAAAGCCGCCCCAGUUCAGAUUGCAGGCUGCAACCCGCCUGCAUGAAGGCGGAAUCGCUAGUAAUCGCGCAUCAGCUACGGCGCGGUGAAUGUGUUCCUGAGCCUUGUACACACCGCCCGUCAAGUCAUGG
Molecule: ribosomal RNA, 1330 nt
Filed under: uncultured Planctomycetota bacterium
Lineage: Bacteria; Pseudomonadati; Planctomycetota
Description: bacterial SSU rRNA
Rfam family: Bacterial small subunit ribosomal RNA
Source: RNAcentral